GGACUUUUUUUUGUAUAAUUUUUGUUGAUUUAUCGAUCACCAACAAGAGAAAAAUAUGACUAAUACGACUCUCCUCAGAAUUGUUUUUCAUUAGCAAUAGUUUAUUUUUGCCAACAGAUAAAAAUACGACUAAUUUCUAUUUUUUUCCAAUAUUUUUCCUAAAACAGUCGUACAACUAUCCGCAGUAUUAAACUUUUUUUCGUUUUUUAAAUCGUAUAUUAUAGUUUAUUUUUGUUUUAUAAUGCUACGAUUAUCAAUCUAUCGUGUACAAAAAUGUAAUAAACGUCGAAUUUUUAUCGUAGCUUUGUACUGUCGAAGCAUU
Non-coding RNA from Cinara cedri, 322 nucleotides. The record is from the annotation of a GenBank genome assembly. NCBI's taxonomy places the organism in Eukaryota, Metazoa, Arthropoda, Insecta, Hemiptera, Aphididae.